CCUACGGGAGGCAGCAGUGAGGAAUAUUGCUCAAUGGCCGAGACGCUGAACCAGCCAAGUCGCGUGAGCGAAGACGGCCCUACGGGUUGUAAACCUCUUUUGUCGGGGAGCAAAUCGAGUCACGUGUGACUCAUUGAGAGUACCCGAAGAAAAAGCAUCGGCUAACUCCGUGCCAGCAGCCGCGGUAAUCCGGAGGAUGCGAGCGUUAUCCGGAUUUAUUGGGGUUAAGGGGUGCGCAGGCGGAGGUGCAAGUCAGCGGUCAAAUUGCGGGGCUCAACCCCGUACUGCCGUUGAAACUGGAUGCCUUGAGUGCGAGAGAAGUAUGCGGAAUGCGUGGUGUAGCGGUGAAAUGCAUAGAUAUCACGCAGAACUCCGAUUGCGAAGGCAGCAUACCGGCGCGCAACUGACGCUCAUGCACGAAAGCGUGGGUAUCGAACAGGAUUAGAUACCCUUGUAGUC
This 459-nucleotide ribosomal RNA is filed under the name uncultured bacterium. Its description in RNAcentral is "partial 16S ribosomal RNA". It matches the Rfam family "Bacterial small subunit ribosomal RNA", at positions 338 to 795 of the family's 1533-position model. The record is from RNAcentral.